This 791-nucleotide long non-coding RNA is filed under the name Mustela putorius furo (domestic ferret). RNAcentral's name for it is "lncRNA (ENSMPUG00000031355.1)". The record is from RNAcentral. Lineage: Eukaryota; Metazoa; Chordata; Mammalia; Carnivora; Mustelidae.
CCUCUGACAAAUUAUUCUAGAGAAAAAAAUGAACAAUACAGCAUUUUGCAUGCUUCAUAGUCAACAAUUACAUUCUGCGGUAUUUAUUUUUGACACUGAAUAAAUAUUCCAGGAAGAAAUAACUCAAAAAGAACCUGUAACUAUAUCAACAUAAGCCUUUUACCCCUUGUCAGCAAAACUAAUAGGGUACACAGCCUAUUUAAAUGUAAAUUUAAAUAAAGCGUUUUUUUCUACCUCUCUGCUUUCUUUGUUCCUUGGGAUUCGGAGAUUACAGGAAUCCAUAUACUAUUCUCCAACACACACAUCCAAAGGUGUUUUGUUUUUUGUUGUGUUUUAUGAAAAACGAAAUCAAAGUGUUUUAGGAUUUAAAUGAUCUAUUUCCACAGUUAGAAUGGAAGAAAAGGCGCUCCGAAUAUCAGAAGAAAGGCGAAGCCUUUGGGGUCGGGGGACCAAGCCUGGACCCAUCCUUAGCCUCCGAGCCGUUACUAGGCAACCCCUAGCGUUCUCAACGGCCGCCGGGAGCCACUUCCCCGCCCUGAUUGCUAAGGAGAUCGACGCCCAACUCAGCCCUGCCGUAAACCCACGCGCUCUUGCGACAUUGCCGCGCCUGCCGCUGCGUGCGCGCCCUCUGCCCCCACUCUCCGCCCCGGCCGCCAUUGCCUCGUGCCCGCGCCGGUCGGUUGGUGGCGCCUUUGUCCUACGGCGGGCAGGGGGGGCGGGGUGGGGGGGAGGCGGAGACCAUCACCUCUUCCUUCUUACAUAUGAGUUUCUGGAAAUGACAGACCUUUUCC